Molecule: ribosomal RNA, 500 nt
Filed under: uncultured bacterium
Lineage: Bacteria
Description: partial 16S ribosomal RNA
Rfam family: Bacterial small subunit ribosomal RNA
Source: RNAcentral
AUUGAACGCUGGCGGAAUGCUUUACACAUGCAAGUCGAACGGCAGCACGGACUUCGGUCUGGUGGCGAGUGGCGAACGGGUGAGUAACAUAUCGGAACGUAUCCAAUAAUGGGGGAUAACGAGUCGAAAGCUUCGCUAAUACCGCAUACGCCCUACGGGGGAAAGCUGGGGACCUUCGGGCCUGGCGUUAAUGGAGCGGGCGAGAUCUGAUUAGCUAGUCGGUGAGGUAAAGGCUCACCAAGGCGACGAUCAGUAGCUGGUCUGAGAGGACGACCAGCCACACUGGAACUGAGACACGGUCCAGACUCCUACGGGAGGCAGCAGUGGGGAAUUUUGGACAAUGGGCGCAAGCCUGAUCCAGCCAUUCCGCGUGUGUGAAGAAGGCCUUCGGGUUGUAAAGCUCUUUCGCAAGGGAAGAAAACUUAGCCACUAACAUUGGUUGAGGUUGACGGUACCUUGAUAAGAAGCACCGGCUAACUACGUGCCAGCCGCCGCGGUAA